Molecule: non-coding RNA, 106 nt
Organism: Erysipelotrichaceae bacterium
Lineage: Bacteria; Bacillati; Bacillota; Erysipelotrichia; Erysipelotrichales; Erysipelotrichaceae
Source: Rfam
UGUGGUCUUGAUGGCAGAAUGGAAAUACCCAGACACUUUUCGAACCUGGCAGUCAAGCAUUCUAACGGCGACGAUAGUGAACAGCGAAAAUAGCAAGAGGCCAUGC